CGCUAUCACUCCUACGGGGAGGCAGCAGUAGGGAAUCUUCCACAAUGGGCGCAAGCCUGAUGGAGCAACACCGCGUGAGUGAAGAAGGGUUUCGGCUCGUAAAGUUCUGUUGUUAAAGAAGAACACGUAUGAGAGUAACUGUUCAUACGUUGACGGUAUUUAACCAGAAAGUCACGGCUAACUACGUGCCAGCAGCCGCGGUAAUACGUAGGUGGCAAGCGUUAUCCGGAUUUAUUGGGCGUAAAGAGAGUGCAGGCGGUUUUCUAAGUCUGAUGUGAAAGCCUUCGGCUUAACCGGAGAAGUGCAUCGGAAACUGGAUAACUUGAGUGCAGAAGAGGGUAGUGGAACUCCAUGUGUAGCGGUGGAAUGCGUAGAUAUAUGGAAGAACACCAGUGGCGAAGGCGGCUACCUGGUCUGCAACUGACGCUGAGACUCGAAAGCAUGGGUAGCGAACAGGAUUAGAUACCCUGGUAG
RNAcentral lists this ribosomal RNA (474 nucleotides) under uncultured bacterium. RNAcentral's name for it is "bacterial SSU rRNA". It matches the Rfam family "Bacterial small subunit ribosomal RNA", at positions 328 to 793 of the family's 1533-position model. The record is from RNAcentral.